Molecule: unclassified non-coding RNA, 379 nt
Filed under: uncultured Gammaproteobacteria bacterium
Lineage: Bacteria; Pseudomonadati; Pseudomonadota; Gammaproteobacteria
Description: contains 16S-23S intergenic spacer region
Source: RNAcentral
UCCGGCUUGUCACCGGCAGUUCCUCCAGAGUCCCCGGCAUUAUCCGCUGGCAACUAGGGACAGGGGUUGCGUUCGUUGCGGGACUUAACCCAACAUCUCACGACACGAGCUGACGACAGCCAUGCAGCACCUGUGUUCCCGUUCCCUUUCGGGCACAGCCCCCUUUCAGGGGCCUCCAGGACAUGUCAAGGGUAGGUAAGGUUUUUCGCGUUGCAUCGAAUUAAUCCACAUAAUCCACCGCUUGUGCGGGUCCCCGUCAAUUCCUUUGAGUUUAGGCCUUGCGGCCGUACUCCCCAGGCGGUCAACUUCACGCGUUAGCUUCGUUACCAAGGAAUUACUUCCCCGACAACCAGUUGACAUCGUUUAGGGCGUGGACUAC